CGAACAGGCCCUGGGAAGAAAAGACAGUGUAAAAACUUUACAGACGUUAGAGGACGCUGUGGUCCUUUGGAUAUUGUUUCUAACAAAUUAUACUUCAAAAGCCAUCCAGAGGUCGACUGAGUUUGUUUUUAAUCUGCCAAGAGCUCAGGCAGCCUGGAAUGCUGAGUGAAGAAUAUGUGGCGCGGAAGAGAUCCACGAAGUACUUCAGCCCCUGAAAACAAUCAAGUCCCCGUUUCAGGGCCUUUGCAGCAGUAACAGUGGGGAAUCCUGUCCUGCUGUUUUAUUUUCUCAUUUUCUCUCUCUGGCCAAACCUGCAAAGAGCAUGAUAGAACCCUAUUGUAACUGCAAAUGUUUGUUUUCUGAUUACAAAUGUGACGGCAUGUUCAUUAUGCAAAAUCUGAAAAAUGUAGAAAAAGUAUUAAUAGAAAAAAAUACCAGGAGGAAAUACUAUUUUGAGCUGCAGGGAUUAUGGGCUUAAAAAUAUUUUUUAUCUUAUGUUUUUCCAUAUUUCCCAAAUUUUCUGCCAUGAAUUAGAAUUACUGCUGUAUCAUAAAAAGUUUUUAAAGUACAUAGUUUGCAAUUUAUAGAAAGGUCAUAUGGCUUUCUGUAAUGUGAGUAGCAUUACAUCUACUCACAAAGUUAGGCAUAGGGCAUAGAAGCAGGUGAUACUUCAGAGCUGAUCACAAACAACUUCACAAAUAGCAAAACUGGUAAAA
Cervus elaphus (red deer) is the source of this 716-nucleotide long non-coding RNA. RefSeq lists it as uncharacterized. NCBI's taxonomy places the organism in Eukaryota, Metazoa, Chordata, Mammalia, Artiodactyla, Cervidae. The record is from RefSeq and is a predicted model, not a curated record. The transcript has 2 exons.